Molecule: long non-coding RNA, 2032 nt
Organism: Onychostruthus taczanowskii (white-rumped snowfinch)
Lineage: Eukaryota; Metazoa; Chordata; Aves; Passeriformes; Passeridae
Exons: 2
Source: RefSeq, a predicted model, not a curated record
AGGAGCAGAUGGAAACAGCUGCCAACAGAUGAGUACUGGAAUGGAUUCAAGCCACACUACUUGCUGGAACUUGAGAGUUUGUGAAGGCCUGAGCUUUCCCAACCACAGGGAAUCAGUGGGAGACCUUCACAAAGUUGGACUUUGCUGAAGAUGCUGCGUGGCCAAUCCUGCCUUGGAGCCUCCUCUGGUCCAUGGGAGUCUGGGCUGCUCCACAGAAUGGUCCCGUGCCUUGACAUUGAUUUAUCAUCCACCAUGACCACAAGCUCAGGGAUGAGGAAGGAAUACCCAUGGCUGCUACCAUCCCUGACCCUCUGGCUUCAGAUAAAUCACCAAGCUUGGAGCAUGACUGCCCCAGAAAGAAGGAGAAGCAACUGCAUUGCUCUGCUCAACGCGUGGCAGCUUGCUCCUCUCCUCUCCUCUCCACAGAACAUUGAUCUUCAAGGCCAUACACAAUUAAAGGAGUGGGAGACAUUCCCUGGAAUUAGCUGUUCCCUCUUUCGUUUUCCUGCUUAAGGUAAGAGCUGCACAAACUUCUUCUAUAAGAGUCACCUAACAGAGAAUACAAUGACUGGUCUGUCAUCAAAGUAUUUAGGGAUGGUGACGAUACCUAGAUUGGUUUUCAGUGUGUUUUUUGUUUUUAUUUUACUGUGAUGUUUCUACAAAAUCCAUAAAUCAUAGGGAUGUGAUAAGAAACAGGUCGCAGUUGCUGGUUAUUCUUGUCCAGAUGCACAGAAAUGCCCUGAUUGUUAUUUUCCAAUGACAACCAGCUCAGGGCUAAACAUUUUUCAGUUGCACAGCCAGCUUUCAAGGUUACACAUAGAUACUGAAUGAAACAGAGCCCACUGGUUAUUUUUAGAGAGGCUCUAAACAAGAAGCAAAUCCCUGUAGCAGUGCUGCCAGAGAUGCAUAAAGUUCAAAUCCAAAUUAAAACUGCCUAUCUUUGGCCUACAUUCCAGCUUGAACUUGAGGAAAACUGUGAUCUGUGACUUGAACUUUAUGACAAAAACUCAUUCGCAAUUAGUUUCUAAUACCUGAGAAUACAUGAACUUGGCGCAAACACUUAAAUAGAACUUGAAUGAAAAAUGUGAACACUUGUCCCAAAAUGUAGUACCUGUUCUUGUGAGUUUUGUAUGGUUUCAGUAGCUACACUGGAAUUUGGAGUGUCUAAUUUUUUGUGAUUCUUAGUUCAACACAUCUUUGUAAGAUCAAGUCCUACAAUGUAAUUGUAAAUUUUGGGGGCAGGAGGAGAAACAUGCUUAUUUAUUGAUCCUUCUAAUAAUCUGUGAUGCUCAGGUCUAGGUUUAGCAGUGACCACAACAGACUAUGAAGAAAGGAGACCCUUUGACAGCAGCAUAUUUAUGCAAAGUAGUGCAACUGAAGCAUGUUCUUGAUUUCUUUGCUGAAUCAGAGCCUGUAUCUUCUUCCUGCCAAGGCAGCGAUCUAAUACCACUCCCAAUGCACUAGUAAUUCUAGAAGCCCUAACGAAAGUCAAGAUAACACCACAGAUUUUAUAAAUAAGGGUCUUUAUUUAGAAUACUGUUGAAAACAUUCUUGGCAACCAAAUCAUAUAAAUAUAUAAAGUUAAAGUUUGACACAACAAACCAAGCAAUAUUAAAUAUUUUUAAAUUUUUCCCCUUUUUAAGUUUUUGGUUUUUUCUUUUUUUUUUUUUUUUAAUUUUUUUUCUUUUUUUUUCUUUUUUUUUUUUUUUUGGAAAGCAACUCUUAUUUACAGUUAUACAAAAGUUUUAUAAAAAAUGGUCCACAACCUUAUUUUGGCCAGAACAGGAGUAAUAGGAAGGAUCUAUCAUGCCACUACUGCUGUAGAUUUCUAUUUUCCUCCACAUUCAAGAGCCAGUUUCCUAUUCCCCACAGCCCAGAUUAAACAUUGGCCAUUUCAUGGUAUACGAUUUUAUCUCUAGACGCAUUAAAUAACUUUAGUUUAACAACCAAUAAAUAACUAUGUGUACUUUGAAGUGAUACAGGUUUGCAAAGUUAGAUAGUUGAAGGAAUUUUCAGUGAUAUUUUAAAAUUG